Molecule: transfer RNA, 107 nt
Filed under: Kitasatospora sp.
Lineage: Bacteria; Bacillati; Actinomycetota; Actinomycetes; Kitasatosporales; Streptomycetaceae
Description: tRNA-Phe
Source: RNAcentral
GUGGCGGUCGGCAACGGCGCACAACUCGCGCACGAUCGACGACAACUUGGCAUGCGCCACGCCUGAAAAGCGGAAGGUCGACAGUUCGAUCCUGUCCCUGACCACCA